AGCCAGACUCCUACGGGAGGCAGCAGUGGGGAAUAUUGGACAAUGGAGGAAACCCUGAUCCAGCGACGCCGCGUGAGUGAAGAAGUAUUUCGGUAUGUAAAGCUCUAUCAGCAGGGAAGAAAAUGACGGUACCCGAUUAAGAAGCCCCGGCUAACUACGUGCCAGCAGCCGCGGUAAUACGUAGGGGGCAAGCGUUAUCCGGAAUUACUGGGUGUAAAGGGAGCGUAGACGGUGAAGUAAGUCUGGAGUGAAAGGCGGGGGCCCAACCCCCGGACUGCUCUGGAAACUAUUUGACUGGAGUGCAGGAGAGGUAAGCGGAAUUCCUAGUGUAGCGGUGAAAUGCGUAGAUAUUAGGAGGAACACCAGUGGCGAAGGCGGCUUACUGGACUGUAACUGACGUUGAGGCUCGAAAGCGUGGGGAGCAAACAGGAUUAGAUACCCUGGUAGA
This 448-nucleotide ribosomal RNA is filed under the name uncultured bacterium. Its description in RNAcentral is "bacterial SSU rRNA". It matches the Rfam family "Bacterial small subunit ribosomal RNA", at positions 329 to 794 of the family's 1533-position model. The record is from RNAcentral.